CUGUGGGUAGAAAACUAUUACAUUCGAAAAUAUUUGAACUUUAAACACUUGAAGCAAAGUGCAUCAAGACAAUCGAUCGAAGUGCAUCGAAUGCAAUUGAAUGAUUAAUACGGACGUAUAGAAUUUCCGCAGUUGAAUGUUGCAAUGUUGCUGUCGUGAAUAGGCAGGUGCGCAAAGGAAGUCACUACGUCCGUGGUGAAUCAGCAUAUGUUCUGUCAAAUCAAUGAGGACGUUAUCUACUAAGACACUUAAAUCAAUGACGUCGUUAUCGAUAUACGACUGCUGUGCAUCUCAAAAGAUUCAGGGACGACUCAAACUCGCCCAAGUUUCGUUUGCCUUUUAAGUGAAUCUUUUGAGAACCAACACCGCACUCGAAUCAAUCCGAUAUACUUAUUAGCUGUUUGGUUAGAGUGUCUGUAAAAAGUUAUUGGCCAACUAAAAACAGUUAAUAGUUGUAUAGGAUUGAAAGACUUUUCUAGCUAGGACCCCGGUUAGGACGCUGAAAUCAUUUUCCGUUCGUUAUUAUGGACGAUGAUCGAGAAUUUUACGCUACAUUUUGUGUCACGUUUCUAUUUGGAGUCUUUCUUGUCGUAGUCGCUCUUCUGUUGUACGUGUGCAAGAAAAACUGGCAAAGAAAAACUGUACGAAACCAACAAAUGGCGACAUACAGUCAAGUCGAUUUUUACAAACUGAUGUAGCCCAAUCGGGGAAAGUAAUCCACGUACUCACCGUUGUACCUCAUUAUUGACAAACAGACGCCGAUGCUAACGACACAAGUCACAGCAAUGCUUCUACCUCGUCACUAACACCUUCCCGUCAGCACAGGCCUGCUAACAUUCUAAUCAUCGCUCAAACAGAGGACGACCAGCCCCCUGGUUACACUCCGCCGCCAGCUUACGACAUGGCUUGGUUUGAUUUUUAAGGCAAAUGCGUGCAUAAAAAUACAUGCAACUCUUGAUUUUCAAUCUGAAUUUUUGGGUGUAAGAUAAAACAAAAAACCCGACUGAUAACAAACGCGGCGACUGCUGGUCAAGCAGAUUAAAUGAUUGCGAGAAGGAAAUCCCCCUCUCCCCGACUUAAUUCCCGAAUUGUUGCAGCACUGAAAUGUGGCAAUUGUUUUCGUUCCACAAAUCCGUAUGUAUAUACGUGAGUGGGUAUUAACAACACAUGACGUCGGUCAAAAUUGAAGAUGGCCAAUGCCAACACACUAUUAUCGAAUGUAGACCAUUGAUAAAGACUAAGCCAAUUUUGACGUGCGCAACAGAGGCUAUAAAUUGACUUGUUAUAAUAUAUAGCGUCCCCUGAACUCGCCAUUCAGUCUGAAUUGUAAGCUCAGCUAAAAAGCUCAAAUUAUCACUGUUGAAUUGAAUAUUAUCCAGUCUAUAAUUUCGGCCAUGAGUCCCGUUGUUGAGAUUGUAUUGUUUUUGUUCCUCGUGUUUUUCUCCAUGUCUGCUGGUGUCGGUUUGGUCUUUUUCAUCUAUUCCAAAAACAAUUGCGCCAACAGUAAAGAUGGAAACCAGCCAAUGCCAACACCUUCGUCAAACACGUCGUUUGUUAAUGACGGAAGUCACGCCGCCUCGACGACCUCCAGGUCUCUUACCAUUCUAAUCGUGGCACAAGCCGAGAGCGAUCCUCCGCCGUAUACUCCUCCGCCCACCUACGACAUCAAGUGGUUUGAAGACAAUUGAAUUUCGGUCGCUGUGUAAAUAUUAUAUUCAAUCGACGUGUUUUAUAGUAUACAAUUUUUUAUUUUUU
This 1755-nucleotide long non-coding RNA is filed under the name Daphnia pulex (common water flea). RNAcentral describes it as "uncharacterized LOC124190127". The record is from RNAcentral. Lineage: Eukaryota; Metazoa; Arthropoda; Branchiopoda; Diplostraca; Daphniidae.